UUGUCGCCCUCACCCAGCUGCUGCGGCGGAGAGACGGAGGCCAGCGCGGGGAGCGGAAGCCGGAGCCUGUCGGGAGCGACCCCGGGAAGGCCAGUCCCUCCUGCCGGAGGGAGGCGUGUUGGCGUGCGGCCGGUGGCGGGAUCGAUGGCCACCUGGUAGGCGAUGCUGCUGCGGCGGAGAGACGGAGGCCAGCGCGGGGAGCGGAAGCCGGAGCCUGUCGGGAGCGACCCCGGGAAGGCCAGUCCCUCCUGCCGGAGGGAGGCGUGUUGGCGUGCGGCCGGUGGCGGGAUCGAUGGCCACCUGGUAGGCGAUGGUAAGCGGCAGUGGCCUGCGCCAAGGUAGCCCCCGGGGGGCGGUGUGUGGCGCCCGGACCCGCACCCUCUGCUCCCGGGGGUGGAGCUGACCUGCUUGCCCGCGGUUGGGCUCGGGAGCCUGCGGGCCGCGGCCAGGAGGGAGCUGGCUGGCCGUCCCGGCGGUGGGGGCUGUGGCGGUGGCCGUCCCGCGGGUGUGCCCGUGCUCGGAUCGAUGAUGACACCCACAAACGCAUUCCUUGGAAAAUCUGAACAAAAUGAGUGAGAACUCACUACCGUCUCCUCAUCGCAAACUGAGGUCCGGCACGUGGCUCCCACAGGGGACGUCGGGGGAGGGUCCCGUUGCCUUGGCUCCCUUGGCUGCUGCGGCGGAGAGACGGAGGCCAGCGCGGGGAGCGGAAGCCGGAGCCUGUCGGGAGCGACCCCGGGAAGGCCAGUCCCUCCUGCCGGAGGGAGGCGUGUUGGCGUGCGGCCGGUGGCGGGAUCGAUGGCCACCUGCUGCUGCGGCGGAGAGACGGAGGCCAGCGCGGGGAGCGGAAGCCGGAGCCUGUCGGGAGCGACCCCGGGAAGGCCAGUCCCUCCUGCCGGAGGGAGGCGUGUUGGCGUGCGGCCGGUGGCGGGAUCGAUGGCCACCUGGUAGGCGAUGGUAAGCGGCAGUGGCCUGCGCCAAGGUAGCCCCCGGGGGGCGGUGUGUGGCGCCCGGACCCGCACCCUCUGCUCCCGGGGGUGGAGCUGACCUGCUUGCCCGCGGUUGGGCUCGGGAGCCUGCGGGCCGCGGCCAGGAGGGAGCUGGCUGGCCGUCCCGGCGGUGGGGGCUGUGGCGGUGGCCGUCCCGCGGGUGUGCCCGUGCUCGGAUCGAUGAUGACACCCACAAACGCAUUCCUUGGAAAAUCUGAACAAAAUGAGUGAGAACUCACUACCGUCUCCUCAUCGCAAACUGAGGUCCGGCACGUGGCUCCCACAGGGGACGUCGGGGGAGGGUCCCGUUGCCUUGGCUCCCUUGGGUGCGUGCAGCCUGGGGCGCAGGUGGGGCAGGCAGGC
This 1352-nucleotide long non-coding RNA is filed under the name Sus scrofa (pig). RNAcentral's name for it is "lncRNA (ENSSSCG00070008112.1)". The stretch from base 520 to 613 matches the Rfam family "Small nucleolar RNA SNORD116". The record is from RNAcentral. Lineage: Eukaryota; Metazoa; Chordata; Mammalia; Artiodactyla; Suidae.